Molecule: ribosomal RNA, 256 nt
Filed under: uncultured bacterium
Lineage: Bacteria
Description: partial 16S ribosomal RNA
Rfam family: Bacterial small subunit ribosomal RNA
Source: RNAcentral
UACGUAGGGUGCGAGCGUUGUCCGGAAUUAUUGGGCGUAAAGGGCUCGUAGGCGGUCUGUUGCGUCGGUAGUGAAAACUCAGGGCUUAACCCUGAGCCUGCUUCCGAUACGGGCAGACUAGAGGUAUGCAGGAGAGGAACGCGGAAUUCCAGGUGUAGCGGUGAAAUGCGUAGAUAUCUGGAGGAACACCGGUGGCGAAGGCGGCGUUCUGGACUGCAACUGACACUGUAAAACGAAAGCCAGGGGAGCAAACGGG